This 426-nucleotide RNase P RNA is filed under the name Brucella sp. 191011898. RNAcentral describes it as "RNaseP_bact_a". It matches the Rfam family "Bacterial RNase P class A". Rfam says of the family: Ribonuclease P (RNase P) is a ubiquitous endoribonuclease, found in archaea, bacteria and eukarya as well as chloroplasts and mitochondria. Its best characterised activity is the generation of mature 5'-ends of tRNAs by cleaving the 5'-leader elements of precursor-tRNAs. Lineage: Bacteria; Pseudomonadati; Pseudomonadota; Alphaproteobacteria; Hyphomicrobiales; Brucellaceae. The record is from RNAcentral.
UCAGUCGGUCGGGCAGCCGCGCCUGUCAUGUGCCGAAAGGCGGCAGGUGAGGAAAGUCCGGGCUCCAUGGAAACACGAUGCCGGGUAACGCCCGGCGGGGGCGACCCCAGGGAAAGUGCCACAGAAAGCAAACCGCCCCGUCUUCCGUACCGUUUCGGGCAAACGGCAGGGAUGACGGGGUAAGGGUGAAAGGGUGGGGUAAGAGCCCACCGCGCCGGCAGCAAUGCAGGCGGCACGGUAAACCCCAUCGGGAGCAAAACCGAAUAGGGACGGCGCGUCGGCUCGAAAGGGCAGGCAAUCGGUUUCCGGAUCAGCCGUCCGGGUGGGUUGCACGAGGCGGGUGGCGACAUCCGUCCCAGAUGAAUGGCUGCCGCGCCGGGUGCAAGCCCGGCCGUACAGAACCCGGCUUACAGACCGGCUGACAUU